Molecule: non-coding RNA, 409 nt
Organism: Paramuricea clavata
Lineage: Eukaryota; Metazoa; Cnidaria; Anthozoa; Malacalcyonacea; Plexauridae
Source: the annotation of a GenBank genome assembly
AACAUAUGUAAAUAAAAGGAUCCGCUGAAAUUUAGUAAUAUUGUGAUGGUAUGACAUUUACUGUUUUUCUAGCCACGCCAAGGACCUCAAAUUUCGAGGGAUUAGUUUGUGAAUUUUCGCAGAGGAUGUAUUUUGCAUGUACAUGGGAAUGUAUUUUCAGACAAUAUAAACUAUAAACCAGUCAUAUUUGUUCUUUGAUGGUAAAUAUUCGAAUGAUGGCCCAUAUCUGGAAAUAUUUCCACUUUCUAAAGUUGUAGACGAAAAUAUUUAGCGAUUUUCAGCGAUAAAAUUCAAAACCUUUGGAAUUUUGAGUAAAACCUUCGAACUUCGGGCGAUGUGAUUUAAGUAACUUACUAGAUACCACUGACAUGAUCUGAUCUGAUCUGAUCGCGGACGGGGGUCACAGAAC